RNAcentral lists this ribosomal RNA (240 nucleotides) under uncultured Hymenobacter sp. Its description in RNAcentral is "partial 16S ribosomal RNA". It matches the Rfam family "Bacterial small subunit ribosomal RNA", at positions 28 to 275 of the family's 1533-position model. The record is from RNAcentral. Lineage: Bacteria; Pseudomonadati; Bacteroidota; Cytophagia; Cytophagales; Hymenobacteraceae.
GAUGAACGCUAGCGGCAGGCCUAAUACAUGCAAGUCGAACGGUUCCUAGCAAUAGGAAUAGUGGCGCACGGGUGCGUAACGCGUAACCAACCUGCCCUUGACUGGGGGAUAGCCCGCCGAAAGGCGGAUUAAUACCGCAUAAACUCACAGUGUGGCAUCACACAAUGAGUAAAGAUUUAUUGGUCAAGGAUGGGGUUGCGUGCCAUUAGCUAGUUGGCGGGGUAACGGCCCACCAAGGCG